RNAcentral lists this ribosomal RNA (2923 nucleotides) under Klebsiella pneumoniae. Its description in RNAcentral is "bacterial LSU rRNA". It matches the Rfam family "Bacterial large subunit ribosomal RNA". Lineage: Bacteria; Pseudomonadati; Pseudomonadota; Gammaproteobacteria; Enterobacterales; Enterobacteriaceae. The record is from RNAcentral.
GGGUUGUGAGGUUAAGCGACUAAGCGUACACGGUGGAUGCCCUGGCAGUCAGAGGCGAUGAAGGACGUGCUAAUCUGCGAAAAGCGUCGGUAAGGUGAUAUGAACCGUUAUAACCGGCGAUGUCCGAAUGGGGAAACCCAGUGCAAUUCGUUGCACUAUCGUUAACUGAAUACAUAGGUUAACGAGGCGAACCGGGGGAACUGAAACAUCUAAGUACCCCGAGGAAAAGAAAUCAACCGAGAUUCCCCCAGUAGCGGCGAGCGAACGGGGAGCAGCCCAGAGUCUGAAUCAGCUUGUGUGUUAGUGGAACGGUCUGGAAAGUCCGACGGUACAGGGUGAUAGUCCCGUACACCAAAAUGCACAGGUUGUGAACUCGAAGAGUAGGGCGGGACACGUGGUAUCCUGUCUGAAUAUGGGGGGACCAUCCUCCAAGGCUAAAUACUCCUGACUGACCGAUAGUGAACCAGUACCGUGAGGGAAAGGCGAAAAGAACCCCGGCGAGGGGAGUGAAAAAGAACCUGAAACCGUGUACGUACAAGCAGUGGGAGCACCUUCGGGUGUGACUGCGUACCUUUUGUAUAAUGGGUCAGCGACUUAUAUUCUGUAGCAAGGUUAACCGUAUAGGGGAGCCGCAGGGAAACCGAGUCUUAACUGGGCGUUAAGUUGCAGGGUAUAGACCCGAAACCCGGUGAUCUAGCCAUGGGCAGGUUGAAGGUUGGGUAACACUAACUGGAGGACCGAACCGACUAAUGUUGAAAAAUUAGCGGAUGACUUGUGGCUGGGGGUGAAAGGCCAAUCAAACCGGGAGAUAGCUGGUUCUCCCCGAAAGCUAUUUAGGUAGCGCCUCGUGAACUCAUCUUCGGGGGUAGAGCACUGUUUCGGCUAGGGGGUCAUCCCGACUUACCAACCCGAUGCAAACUACGAAUACCGAAGAAUGUUAUCACGGGAGACACACGGCGGGUGCUAACGUCCGUCGUGAAGAGGGAAACAACCCAGACCGACAGCUAAGGUCCCAAAGUCAUGGUUAAGUGGGAAACGAUGUGGGAAGGCACAGACAGCCAGGAUGUUGGCUUAGAAGCAGCCAUCAUUUAAAGAAAGCGUAAUAGCUCACUGGUCGAGUCGGCCUGCGCGGAAGAUGUAACGGGGCUAAACCAUGCACCGAAGCUGCGGCAGCGACACUAUGUGUUGUUGGGUAGGGGAGCGUUCUGUAAGCCUGCGAAGGUGUGCUGUGAGGCAUGCUGGAGGUAUCAGAAGUGCGAAUGCUGACAUAAGUAACGAUAAAGCGGGUGAAAAGCCCGCUCGCCGGAAGACCAAGGGUUCCUGUCCAACGUUAAUCGGGGCAGGGUGAGUCGACCCCUAAGGCGAGGCCGAAAGGCGUAGUCGAUGGGAAACAGGUUAAUAUUCCUGUACUUGGUGUUACUGCGAAGGGGGGACGGAGAAGGCUAUGUUAGCCGGGCGACGGUUGUCCCGGUUUAAGCAUGUAGGCUGGUUAUCCAGGCAAAUCCGGAUAAUCAAGGCUGAGGUGUGAUGACGAGGCACUACGGUGCUGAAGUAACAAAUGCCCUGCUUCCAGGAAAAGCCUCUAAGCAUCAGGUAACAUCAAAUCGUACCCCAAACCGACACAGGUGGUCAGGUAGAGAAUACCAAGGCGCUUGAGAGAACUCGGGUGAAGGAACUAGGCAAAAUGGUGCCGUAACUUCGGGAGAAGGCACGCUGGUGUGUAGGUGAAGUCCCUGCGGAUGGAGCUGAGACCAGUCGAAGAUACCAGCUGGCUGCAACUGUUUAUUAAAAACACAGCACUGUGCAAACACGAAAGUGGACGUAUACGGUGUGACGCCUGCCCGGUGCCGGAAGGUUAAUUGAUGGGGUUAUCCGUAAGGAGAAGCUCUUGAUCGAAGCCCCGGUAAACGGCGGCCGUAACUAUAACGGUCCUAAGGUAGCGAAAUUCCUUGUCGGGUAAGUUCCGACCUGCACGAAUGGCGUAAUGAUGGCCAGGCUGUCUCCACCCGAGACUCAGUGAAAUUGAACUCGCUGUGAAGAUGCAGUGUACCCGCGGCAAGACGGAAAGACCCCGUGAACCUUUACUAUAGCUUGACACUGAACAUUGAGCCUUGAUGUGUAGGAUAGGUGGGAGGCUUUGAAGCGUGGACGCCAGUCUGCGUGGAGCCAACCUUGAAAUACCACCCUUUAAUGUUUGAUGUUCUAACGUUGGCCCCUGACCGGGGUUGCGGACAGUGUCUGGUGGGUAGUUUGACUGGGGCGGUCUCCUCCCAAAGCGUAACGGAGGAGCACGAAGGUUAGCUAAUCCUGGUCGGACAUCAGGAGGUUAGUGCAAUGGCAUAAGCUAGCUUGACUGCGAGCGUGACGGCGCGAGCAGGUGCGAAAGCAGGUCAUAGUGAUCCGGUGGUUCUGAAUGGAAGGGCCAUCGCUCAACGGAUAAAAGGUACUCCGGGGAUAACAGGCUGAUACCGCCCAAGAGUUCAUAUCGACGGCGGUGUUUGGCACCUCGAUGUCGGCUCAUCACAUCCUGGGGCUGAAGUAGGUCCCAAGGGUAUGGCUGUUCGCCAUUUAAAGUGGUACGCGAGCUGGGUUUAGAACGUCGUGAGACAGUUCGGUCCCUAUCUGCCGUGGGCGCUGGAGAAUUGAGGGGGGCUGCUCCUAGUACGAGAGGACCGGAGUGGACGCAUCACUGGUGUUCGGGUUGUCAUGCCAAUGGCACUGCCCGGUAGCUAAAUGCGGAAGAGAUAAGUGCUGAAAGCAUCUAAGCACGAAACUUGCCCCGAGAUGAGUUCUCCCUGAGACUAUAAGUCUCCUGAAGGAACGUUAAAGACGAUGACGUUGAUAGGCCGGGUGUGUAAGCGCAGCGAUGCGUUGAGCUAACCGGUACUAAUGAACCGUGAGGCUUAACCUUACAACGCCGAAG